This 497-nucleotide ribosomal RNA is filed under the name uncultured bacterium. RNAcentral's name for it is "partial 16S ribosomal RNA". It matches the Rfam family "Bacterial small subunit ribosomal RNA", at positions 28 to 507 of the family's 1533-position model. The record is from RNAcentral.
GAUGAACGCUGGCGGCGUGCCUAAUACAUGCAAGUCGAGCGAACGGACGAGAAGCUGGCUUCUCUGAUGUUAUCGGCGGACGGGUGAGUAACACGUGGAUAAACUACCUAUAAGACUGGGAUAACUUCGGGAAACCGGAGCUAAUACCGGAUGAUAUUUUGAACUGAAUGGUUCAAAAGUGAAAGACGGUCUUGCUGUCACUUAAAGAUGGAUACGGGCUGCAUUAGCUAGUUGGUAAGGUGACGGCUUACCAAGGCAACGAUGCAUAGCCGACCUGAGAGGGUCAUCGGCCACACUGUAACUGAGACACGUUCCAGACUCCUACGGGAGGAAGCAGUAGGGAAUCUUCCGCAAUGGGCGAAAGCCUAACGGAGCAAAGUCGCGUGAGUGAUGAAGGUCUUCUGAUCGUAAAACUCUGUUAUUAGGGAAGAACAUAUGUGUUAGUACCUGUGAACAUCUUGACGGUACCUAAUCAGAAAGCCACGGCUAACUACGUG